Small nuclear RNA from Rhinopithecus bieti (black snub-nosed monkey), 107 nucleotides. The record is from Ensembl. NCBI's taxonomy places the organism in Eukaryota, Metazoa, Chordata, Mammalia, Primates, Cercopithecidae.
GUGCUGGCUUUGGCAGCACAUAUACUAAAAUUGGAACGAUGUAGAGAAGAUUAGCAUGACCUCUGCACAAGGAUGACACACAAAUUUGUAAACUGUUCCAUAUUUAA